AGAGGGACACUCUGGGAUCCCCCCUCCAGCCCCUUUCUUGGGCUCCUGAUGGAGACAAAAUGUCAGGGCCACCCGCUCAUGGCAGAUAAUGCCAAAGGCUGCGAUGGCCCCUGGGUUGUUCGCCCACUUCUGACAAAAAGGCUGCGGCCUCCCGGGGCUCCCGUCAUGUGCGCGUUCGUCCCCUGGCGCAGACUCGCCCAGGCCCCGGGGCAGAGCGGGGCCCUGUGGCAGCAGCGCCCUGGCAGCAGUGUUUCCCCGCUGACGCUCCCCUGCAGCACAACUCCCGCAGCCCAGGGCCAGCCCGGCGCUGCUCCCCCUUGCUCCCCRCCCUCCGCCCUGGCCCCGGCCCCUGCCGGCAGCAGCUACCGCAGGCUCCGUGCACAGGAGCACACGCCGGGCCGCAGCGUCGCUCCGGGCUCCCUGCGCAGCAGCCGCCAACACCCACCGCUGCCAAAGCUCCUUCUCCGCGGCCUCGAGAGCGGCGCCGCGGGGGGGGCGGGGCCGGCGGCACCAGGGGCGGUGGCCAUGGACACACAGGCCCCGCCCCCACAGGGCCGGAAGUGCCGCCUCCCACGGAGCAUGCGCACUGGCGCAGAGGAGGGCAGCGAAGGGCGGGGCCGGGGCUGCCCGGGCCCUGCGGGUAGGGAGGGAGGGGGCGAGAGGCGGCUGGUGCCGCGCGGGGCAGCGUCUCCGGGCGCGGGGCCACCUGGAGCCUUGAGCCGCAGCGCCGGGAGCUGCCGCGCCGGGGCCGAGGGCCGCGGGCUGGGCAGAGCGAGUGGCUGUGCGCGCGGGGGCAGCUGGAGGCGCCGCGGCCCGGUGUGUGCGAGCAGCUGCUGGGGAAGGCCCAGCCCGGCCUGGGCCGCCUCCGGCCCCGCGGGAGCCCCUGGCUCUUGGGCCCCUUCUCCUGUCAGGCCAGUGACAGUGUUAUAGGUAAACGUGACAAAUUGACAACCACUGGGGCCGGGUUGCAUAAAUUCCAAUUUAAUAGAAUAAUUGAGCAAGUCACAAGUAAGCAAAACAGCGCUGGGCGGCCGGGGGGGAGUCUCCUGCUCCACCAACGGCGCACACAACCCCCCCUCACAGUCUCCUUAUAUGCGAUUCCAGUUCCG
RNAcentral lists this long non-coding RNA (1109 nucleotides) under Apteryx haastii (Great spotted kiwi). Its description in RNAcentral is "lncRNA (ENSAHAG00000006332.1)". The record is from RNAcentral. Lineage: Eukaryota; Metazoa; Chordata; Aves; Apterygiformes; Apterygidae.